RNAcentral lists this ribosomal RNA (496 nucleotides) under uncultured bacterium. RNAcentral describes it as "partial 16S ribosomal RNA". It matches the Rfam family "Bacterial small subunit ribosomal RNA", at positions 29 to 506 of the family's 1533-position model. The record is from RNAcentral.
AAUGAACGCUGGCGGCGUGCCUAACACAUGCAAGUCGAGCGGAUAAAUGAGGCUUGCUCUUCUCUUACGUUGCCGGCGGACGGGUGAGGAACACGAGGAUGACUUGCCUAGAAGACUAGCAUAAGUUCGCGGAACCUAAUACAAUACAGGAUAAGAUAUUGAAACGCAUGGAUCAUCAGAGAACGACGGAUUUGCUGUCCCUAAGUGGGGGUCCCUCGCCGGAUUAGUUAGUUGGUAAGAUAACGGCUUACCAAGGCAACGAUGCGUAGCCGACCAGAGAGGGGGUUCGGCCACACUGGAACUGAGACACGGUCCAGACUCCUACGGGAGGCAGCAGUAGGGAAUCUUCCGCAAUGGGCGAAAGCCUGACGGAGCAACGCCGCGUGAGUGAUGAAGGUCUUCGGAUCGUAAAACUCUGUUAUUAGGGAAGAACAAAUGUGUAAGUAACUAUGCACGUCUUGACGGUACCUAAUCAGAAAGCCACGGCUAACUACGU